This 4264-nucleotide long non-coding RNA is filed under the name Sus scrofa (pig). Its description in RNAcentral is "lncRNA (ENSSSCG00000061028.1)". Lineage: Eukaryota; Metazoa; Chordata; Mammalia; Artiodactyla; Suidae. The record is from RNAcentral.
AUAUGUGCUUCAUUGAGAUAAGUAAGACGUCUGAGAUUAGGAUCAUAGACCUGUCAAAUAAUUCGUGUUAGAAUCAUUGAAAUAUUUUGUUAUUAUUUUAAUAUGUUUCAAAUUAGAAAUUAAAGGGAAAAAGUGCAUAUGAAGAAGUAAUGAGAUUAAAAGAAUCCUGUAAUCAAAAUUGCAGCGUCUUUAUUCUGCUAUCUGUGUAAAGGACUGGAGAAAAUGUGAGCAUAAUUAUAAGAACAAGAGGUUUAUAAUAGAUUCUAAAAUCAUAGGGUUGGCAGUUGCUUCCCAAGAUCCCUCUGUUAUGAGCACAUUGAGCAAAAUCUGGCUUUGAUUUGCCUUUGGAGCACAAAGGUACAAAAUGAUUAUAUUUCUGAGUCAUCGGGCGGAGGGGUCUGGAAAGUCGGAUUGACCCUUACUCCUCCCUCGUGACUGCCAUCAGAUAACCAGUUCUGCAAAUCUUCGUUAAAUUCACUAUUUUUUGGUAGCCGUGGACGUUUUGGCAAGAGAGGAUCCACGUAUAAGGUAGGCUUCGUCGCUGGGGCAUUGCUGACGGAAUGAUGUCUGGACCUGUGCGGCUUUACCUGGCUGGGCGCUUCCGCUUGGUGGAUGGGAACCGACGGCAUCAGACCGUGCGCGUCCCAUUUCCUGUUUUGCCGAAAGAACAACUAUGGAAGAGACGUGCUUCCGUCUCGUGUAAUAAGUCAACGGAAAAGAACUUCUUUCGGAUUCUUUUGAAGUAAUCACAAGGAGUUUUUGAAAUCUCAGCAAAGGGAAUACCCCAUGUGUUUCUUUUCCUUCUUUGUCUGAUUCUCUGUCAUGGAAAUGAUGAAAGAAAUGCCUUAAGAAGACGACUCUGAAACUUCUGACAUUUUACAGCAAAUGUGAAAGCUGAGUAGUCGCAGGAUUAGUUCCUUGAGAAUGCAUAGUUACAAUUUAAAAAGCUAGAGAAGCUUUUGAGGAGAACUGACCUGAAGCACUAGAAGCAUAUAAAAUUCUAGAAAAGGCUUAAACUAAAAAUUCGAAUGAUUAAGAAAGAAAUACCAGAUCAAAUUCUGUAGGUAACAUGAGGCCUGGAAUGGAUGAAAAAUAGUUAAGAUUUACUAAGAAAGAUACCAAACCUCUUUUGCAUGUCACAGUCUUUAAAAAGCUUCCUUUAAAGGUAUGUGCUUUACUGCUUAUCAUUUUCUUUAUUCUGAUAUUUUAAUGGAUUUGUAACAUUUAUGAAAAAUACAGUCUGUAUGUUUAUAGCAGGUGUAAUGAACCAUGGCACACACAGAGUCUUUGGUAGCUGUGUGUUUUGGCCAGGGGUCAGCACCCUUGCUAGCAUGAAUAGCCACAUAUGAUCAUAAGAAAACACGGACGAGAGUAAAAAUGGUUCCAGAACGCCGGUGCUAAAACCCAAACCCUUAAGCAGGCAUUUGGGCAGAAGGAAAAAGCAUGGCAGACUGAAUCCUGGCUUCUCUGAAUCCUUUCUGAUCUGUCAAUACCUAUGCCAUUUUGAUUUUCGACCUUACCUGAUAUCCCGUGUGGUAAUACAAACAAUUAGACGAGACUUCGGCAGGUUUUCCAAGCUUACUUCCAGCUCUGCGAGCCUAGGAGAAGACCUACGCGCAUAUUCACACGACUCUUCACAGCACCGUGGUUUGCAGCGGGAAAGAAUGGUAGCGACUAAGUGCCCAUCAAUAGGGGAAUUAAGAAAUCCCGAUAUACCCUCAUUCCCUAUAUUGGGCAACAAUAAAAAUGAAUGAGGUGUGUCUCUGUAUUCUCAUGUAAAAUCUACAAGGUCGUCUUUAUUGAAAAAAUUUCAAAAAAGAGAUACAAAACAAUACUACUUGUGUAAAAAGAAUCAAAAUCAGAGAAAUUAGUACCGCUGUAUGUGCAUGUAAAUUCAGAAAAGGGCCCUGGAAGAAACAUCUCAGAUCAGUGAAAAUACUUACCUCUCUUGAUGGUACCAGAAUCAGGGAUACAGAGCCGGUUGGCCGAAAAGACUUUCCUCUUAUUUCCAGUGCCCUCCUUUUUCUGAGGGGAGUGCUUCCUGGUAUUAAUUAACUGGACUUCUUUGUAAGCUUGCCAGGGCAUUGGAAAAAAGCCUGAGUGGGAUGCGUGGCAGCGUCCGUGGUCUUCCUCCUUCAUGUCCAGGUCGUACCCCUCUGAUGUGGCAAAACCUCUGGGGACGCGACAAGGCGACUGGCGUUACACCAGCCCUCCCUCUGGGCUGGAGCAGAGUGGGGUGGGCGGCAGGGUCUCCCCCAGAUCUCAACUGUUUGAGAGCAUGUUCCUCUGGGUGUAAAACAGCCCAUCUGGGGGUGUCUGUUCUCUCUUCCUGCCGCAGCAGUUACAUGGGGGUCUUCCCAACUAAUGAAUGAAAAACAUGUGUUUUUCAGAAGACACAUAGGCUGUAAUAAAACAAGGUAUCAAUGAUAUACUGCAGAGCUCAUUCGGGAUGCAGAGCGAAGGUUUCAGGGGAUGUUACUGUAUUUAUCCCGGUGAGGGAAAGACAGUAAGCUUUAUGAGGGAAGGGCUAGGCAGGUUUUAGCCACCUCUGUUUAGGCACAAGGCCUGGUAAGUAAUUGAUAAAUGAAUCGAUGGAUGAAAUAGAGGACUAGAACGGCCAACUUUUGAUGUGGAGGAAGAAAGGCUUUUAAGCGAAAUCGUGUUUAAUUUUUCUAUUAUCUUAGAAGAUAGAGAUGAAGCCACCUUGUAGACUGCAGAGCAAUUUAAAGGUCAUUGUUGCUGUUGUAGUGAAAAUAACACAAGUAAAUAUCCACUGUGUGCCACUCAUUCGUCUACAAAAAAGGGAUAUGGGGGGAGAAGGAGCUGCACCACAAACAGCUGACAUUACAAGCAGUUUCCCCCGGGGGCCUUCCUCAAACGUAACCAGCUGCACCCCGAAGCUAAAGAAGCAGCGCAGUCCUGACACUGCUGCCGUGUCCUGGCUUUGGCAUGAUCCGAGAUGGCCCUGGUAGAGCCACAGUAAUGACCAGUCCCACGAACCAACCCUUCAGAACUUACUCUGAGCCAGGCACCCUUCUGAGGUCUUAACAGGUGUCAACCUUACCCGUUUCCACCCCCCAGUUAAGGAGGUAAUACCUGCUUGUUGUAGAAAACAUACAAUUCUGAAAGACUGAAUUCCUGAUUAUCCGUGAUAAAUCUUUCAUUUUAACACUUAUAAAGUUAUUUUGUUCUUGGAGGAUUACAUUAAUUUUCUUAAAAUCCGUCUUAGGCCUCGUUUUUUAAUAGGCUGCACAAUAUAUUUAUAUAUUUUCAUAGGGAAUAGUUUUGGCCUUGCUUUUGCCAUGUUUUGUGAAUCUUGGUUUUUUUAUUUGUUUGCUUGAUUUUAUUUUUUCUGCUCUGCUGUUUCCUUGGCUUUCAGCGUUUCACUAUAUUGACUAUAUUUUGAUUUUUUAACUUAUACACUUAUUUGGAAGAUACGCCUGUUUAUGACACACAUAAUUCAAUCUGUACGUCUUUAAUUCUCGAAGAUAAGCACAAAGGGACCACAUUCAUUGCCCUUGGGGCCGAGCAGAGAAUUUAGCAGCCUGGCCAAUGUCGUGUCACAUCCGAAUCUUCAUUCAUUGUCUGUGGUUGUAGAUGCAACACAUGAUUGUGUAAUUAUUAUCUUCACCCUUUAAAGCUUUCCCCUGUAUACCUUUUCCAAUAGCUGCUUUUGGAUUUACCGCUAAAACUCAUCCCCAGUGCUGUAAAUGCAUCUCAUAGCCAGAUCUGUAAACAUAUUUUAUCACUUUGUGAUAAUAUUGCCUAGUGAAAUAAUGAGAAUUAUAUACGUAUGUAUUUAAUAUUUUUAUGUUCCGGAUCCAGUGCUGUAUGUACUAUUUAAGUGUACAUUCGCUGUCUCUGUAAAUGGUGACUAUUCGGUGGAAGUGCCUAUUUUUGUCUCCAUUUUCUUAUAGAAGGAUCGGACAUUUAACUAGAUUAAGCAGUUUAUCCAAGGACAGUACAUUAGGCUGGUGGUGCCCAAGCUGAGAUUUGAACGCAGCACCAGCAGAAAGAAGGCUGACCUUUUGGGGGUUCCCUUCGUGGCUCAGUGGUUAAGAAACCCAACUAGGAUCAAUGAGGAUGUGGGUUCGAUCCCUGGCCUUGCUCAGUGUGUGGUUAAGGAUCUGGCAUUGCCGUGAGCUGUGGUGUAGGUUGCAGACGUGGCUCAGAUCCCGAGGUGCUGUGGCUGUGGUGUAGGCUGGCAGCUGCAGCUUUGAUUCAACCGCUAGCCUGGGAACCUCCAUAUGCCAUGAGUGCGGCC